AGGAAUCCGACUGGGUCGACCUUAGAACACGUGAUUGUUUUUUGAUUUCGAUAUGGUUCGUUUCAUGUGUUCUCAGGUCGCCCCUGUCGGGUUUCC
Molecule: microRNA precursor, 96 nt
Filed under: Gossypium hirsutum (cotton)
Lineage: Eukaryota; Viridiplantae; Streptophyta; Magnoliopsida; Malvales; Malvaceae
Description: MIR398 microRNA precursor family
Rfam family: MIR398 microRNA precursor family
Source: Rfam by way of RNAcentral